This is a non-coding RNA of Odocoileus virginianus texanus, 861 nucleotides long. NCBI's taxonomy places the organism in Eukaryota, Metazoa, Chordata, Mammalia, Artiodactyla, Cervidae. The record is from RefSeq and is a predicted model, not a curated record.
UCCUUGCGCACAGCGUUGGCGUGGAGUCGGCAUCGCCAUCUUGAGCUAGGUGCCUUGUGCAGCAUAUCUCCACCAGGCUGCUGGCCGAAGUGCCCUAUUGCUCGAAGUGGUUCUUUGCUGGGAACACCAAUCCCAUGUGUUAGGUGUGAGGCCUCUGCUCACUGUCCAUGACAGGCAAAUGAAACUAGACUAACCGCAGAGGAAUAGUCAUCACAGAUAAUGUUACUAAAAAGAGUGCAGUUUUGAAAACAAUUAUUCCAGAUAUUUCAACUUAGACACUCUAAGAAAAUGUUUUAAAAGGUAUUGGAAGUCUAAGAAAGCAAAAAAGGAAAUGCUGAGACUAAAGUAUGAGUGUCCAUUCUCAGCUUCUGCCAGCAGGAUUAAAAUCUCUUCUUAGCCCUAUCUUACUCCAGCUUGUUUUCACCUCAGGAGGCCAUAAAUACCUCGACAAAACUGUAAACUUCCAAAGAAGGACAGGGCUUGAGGUUGUAUUAUGCAUGGUUUUACAGAGCUUUGUGGAUCAACUGAAGUUCAGAAAGACUGUAGUGAAGAAAAAUUUGCUUUUGGUCAAGAAGAUGGGAUUCAAAGAUAACUGCUAAUGGCCUGCAGGAGCAUGCUCACAGCCAAGGUGCCUUCUGAACCCUUUCAGUUCACUGUUUUCUGGAAAUCUUUUGAAGUUUCAACUACCUGGUCUUUGUUGCAAAAGCUCCUGCUAUCCUGGCUCCUCCCUUCAGACUAGUCUCUUAGAGCUAACUGGGAGGUUGUGUCCCAGCUUAAGUCCUCAGUUUUAUCUGCCAAAUGAAAGGUAAAUCUCAACUUUUGGGCUGUGCAUUUUUUUCAACGAGACAAAUCAUCAUUUAA